GACGAACGCUGGCGGCGUGCUUAACACAUGCAAGUCGAACGGAAAGGCCCCUUUGGGGGUACUCGAGUGGCGAACGGGUGAGUAACACGUGAGUAACCUGCCCUUGACUUCGGGAUAACUUCAGGAAACUGGGGCUAAUACCGGAUAGGAAUCCUUGCUGCAUGGUGGGGGUUGGAAAGCUUCGGCGGUUUUGGAUGGACUCGCGGCUUAUCAGCUUGUUGGUGGGGUAGUGGCUUACCAAGGCUUUGACGGGUAGCCGGCCUGAGAGGGCGACCGGCCACAUUGGGACUGAGAUACGGCCCAGACUCCUACGGGAGGCAGCAGUGGGGAAUAUUGCACAAUGGGCGGAAGCCUGAUGCAGCUACGCCGCGUGCGGGAUGACGGCCUUCGGGUUGUAAACCGCUUUCAGCAGGGGCGAAGCUUGUGGUGACGGUACCUGCAGAAGAAGCACCGGCUAACUACGUG
RNAcentral lists this ribosomal RNA (465 nucleotides) under uncultured bacterium. Its description in RNAcentral is "partial 16S ribosomal RNA". It matches the Rfam family "Bacterial small subunit ribosomal RNA", at positions 28 to 507 of the family's 1533-position model. The record is from RNAcentral.